This 515-nucleotide ribosomal RNA is filed under the name uncultured bacterium. Its description in RNAcentral is "partial 16S ribosomal RNA". It matches the Rfam family "Bacterial small subunit ribosomal RNA", at positions 28 to 523 of the family's 1533-position model. The record is from RNAcentral.
GAUGAACGCUGGCGGCGUGCCUAAUACAUGCAAGUCGAGCGAAUGGAUUGAGAGCUUGCUCUUAUGAAGUUAGCGGCGGACGGGUGAGUAACACGUGGGUAACCUGCCCAUAAGACUGGGAUAACUCCGGGAAACCGGGGCUAAUACCGGAUAACAUUUUGAACCGCAUGGUUCGAAAUUGAAAGGAGGCUUCGGCUGUCACUUAUGGAUGGAUCCGCGUCGCAUUAGCUAGUUGGUGAGGUAACGGCUCACCAAGGCAACGAUGCGUAGCCGACCUGAGAGGGUGAUCGGGCACGCUGGGACUGAGACACGGCCCAGACUCCUGCGGGAGGCAGCAGUAGGGAAUCUUCCGCAAUGGACGAAAGUCUGACGGAGCAACGCCGCGUGAGUGAUGAAGGCUUUCGGGUCGUAAAACUCUGUUGUUAGGGAAGAACAAGUGCUAGUUGAAUAAGCUGACACCUUGACGGUACCUAACCAGAAAGCCACGGCUAACUACGUGCCAGCCGCCGCCGUAA